AUACGGAGGAUCCGAGCGUUAUCCGGUUUUAUUGGGUUUAAAGGGAGCGUAGGCGGACGCUUAAGUCAGUUGUGAAAGUUUGCGGCUCAACCGUAAAAUUGCAGUUGAUACUGGGUGUCUUGAGUACAGUAGAGGCAGGCGGAAUUUGUGGGGUAGCGGGGAAAUGCUUAUAUAUCAUGAAGAACUCCGAUUGCGAAGACUGCCUGCUGGAAUGUAACUGACGCUGAUGCUCGAAAGUAUGGGUAUCAAACAGGAUUAGAUACCCUUGUAGACCACACAGUAAACGAUGAAUACUCGCUGUUUGCGAUAUACAGUAAGCGGCCAAGCGAAAGCGUUAAGUAUUCCACCUGGGGAGUUCGCCGGCAACGGUGAAACUCAAAUGAAUUGACGGGG
This 393-nucleotide ribosomal RNA is filed under the name uncultured bacterium. RNAcentral's name for it is "partial 16S ribosomal RNA". It matches the Rfam family "Bacterial small subunit ribosomal RNA", at positions 523 to 918 of the family's 1533-position model. The record is from RNAcentral.